CAUCAUAAGUAAAAGACAACACGAGCAGAUCAUCUACAGUCACAUGUUCUAAAAUUGCUGAUAUCCUUUUCUCCAAUUCAUUCUUGCAACUAUUAGCUGCUCUUAAGAAAAUUGCUGUACGAAGGAGACAACAUAGGAAAUUGAUGGGAAAAGCUGCUUUGUCUGAAGGUAAGAGCUUGACAAUUGACUCGAGAAGUUGCUCUUAAGAAAAUUGCAGUACGGAGGAGACAACAUAGGAAAUUGAUGGGAAAAGCUGCUUUGUCUGAAGGUAAGAGCUUGACAAUUGACUCGAGAAGUUGGCGUUGAUGCAUCCUGAUGUCGGAGUCCUCUGGCUCGACUAAUCUGGUUCCAUUACCGGAGUGGUCACGUACAAGGUCACGAAGAGAUCUCUCUGUAUACGUGAUUAUA
This 408-nucleotide long non-coding RNA is filed under the name Nicotiana benthamiana. RNAcentral describes it as "long non-coding RNA (NBEN_LNC013302)". Lineage: Eukaryota; Viridiplantae; Streptophyta; Magnoliopsida; Solanales; Solanaceae. The record is from RNAcentral.